AUCAACUUAAGUGUCCAUCAGCAGAUGAAUAGAAUGGAAUAUACAAUGGAAUACUAUUUAGCCAUAAAAAAGACAUUGUAUCAUUCGAGGUAACAUGGAUGAGGUUGGAGGACACUAUGUCAAAUGAAAUAUGCCAGGCACAGAAAGAUAGCUGGAAGAGUGGAUUUUGAAUGUCCCCAGCACAAAGAAACGAUGAAAGUUUGAGGUGAUACAUAUGUUCAUUAUCCUGAUUUGAUCACUAUACAUUGUAUACAUGUAUCAACAUAUCCCACUACCCUCUCAAAAAGUUAGCAAUAAUUUACAAAUUUAAAAAAAUCUGUGUACCUAGUACUGGAAAGAAGGUAGAAAUUGACAACAUUUCAACAAUGAUGGCAUUCUAUUUAACCACAAGUGAAAUAUUUAAGUGUUAUUGGAGUAUUUCCAGCAGAAAGAUUUCACAACAAGAGAGAAAAGAUCUGGAAAUAGGUGGGCAGAUAUUAAAGAACCAGAGGAAAUAGCAAAUAUGGACCACUGGUGCAUGCCUUUCAUUCCUCAGUAACUUCGUCGAAAGAUGAGCUAUGUAGGGAACUAGUCUGGCAGUAUUCAGCCCUGGAGUUUUCUUAAAUGAUAGUUAUGCUAUCAUUCAGAGAACAUUAGUAGUAAGAUUCUUAUCCUUAAUUUUACAUAAAAAAGACUAGUCAUUUUCAUAACUAAUUAGUUGAUGCAUUUGUGGCUUAGAUGGGGAAAAAUUGAGAAACUAUGAUAGUUGGCAAAUACUUAGAACUGACAGGAGUAAAAUUAGAAACUGAUAAAAUAAGAAUUUGGGGUUGCUAGGAGUCCUUGAGAAAAGUAGCCUCACUAAAAGAGUGAAUCAGGGAAAAGUUAUGCUGAUUCUAGAUGCAUUACUCAUUAGGAGAAUGCAAGCAUGCCCUCUUCACUCUUGAAGUGGAGGCCGUGGGCACAUUGAGGGAGGGCCUGGCUGUGGCAGGCAUGCCUGCAAACCCUGGGGGUCUGCCUCACAUUGUUUGUACAGUAAAGAAAGAUUUAAUACUGGCACGUGGCUCUAGUUUACAGAUUCUAAUCUGCCAAAUCCUAUUUCAAGGAUGUGGACGGGAGAUUACAUUGAGAACUAUGUGCUUAUAGAAAUGAAUGAAAGGCUUUUUGUUGUUGUUGUUUAAAUGAAAGGCUUUAACAUUUUUUCUCUGAAUGACCUUAGGCCGAUCACUCAUUCACACUGGAUCUUAAUUUCUUAUCUAAAAAUGAAGGAACGGUUUAUUGGAAUAGUCUCCUAAAGACUGUUCUGCUUCUAAAUCUAUCCAUUUUGGUUUUUUUUUUCUUUGUUUUGGUUUUUGUUUUGAGAGAGGGUCUUGCUUUGUCGCCCAGGCUGGAGUCGAAUGAGUCUGUUGUGAAGAGUUGAGGAUGGAAGGUGGUAUUUAGUAUUACCCCCAUGAGUGUUCCGGGGCUUUACAUACAAUAGUUGCUUUAAUCCUGCAUUAUUCAUUCACUCUAUAAAUCGCACCCAUGAGUUUAGGAUAUCACUGUCCCCAUUUUACAGGUGAGAGUGAGUAACAUGGACAAGUUCACUUAACUACUAUUGGUUAGUUAAGUGGACUUGAGGUGGACUACAUUGAGAAAUGGCUGUAAUAAUGAUAUCAGUGAGUCAUUGUAAGGUUUAAAUGAAAUGAAAAAAGUCAUUGUUUUGGGUAUUAGAAUUGUGCUGGUUUUUCUUUCUUCCUGUGUUCUCACAGAUUACGUGGAAGUUAAAAAAAAAAAAAAAAAA
This is a long non-coding RNA of Cercocebus atys (sooty mangabey), 1759 nucleotides long. RefSeq lists it as uncharacterized. Lineage: Eukaryota; Metazoa; Chordata; Mammalia; Primates; Cercopithecidae. The transcript has 2 exons. The record is from RefSeq and is a predicted model, not a curated record.